GACGAACGCUGGCGGCAUGCCUAAUACAUGCAAGUCGAGCGAACAGAUGAAGUGCUUGCACUUCUGACGUUAGCGGCGAACGGGUGAGUAACACGUAAGGAAUCUACCUAUAAGCGGGGGAUAACAUUCGGAAACGGGUGCUAAUACCGCAUAAUAUCUUCUUCCGCAUGGAAGAAGAUUGAAAGACGGCUCUGCUGUCACUUAUAGAUGACCUUGCGGUGCAUUAGUUAGUUGGUGGGGUAAUGGCCUACCAAGACGAUGAUGCAUAGCCGACCUGGGAGGGGGAUCGGCCACAAUGGGACUGAGACACGGCCCAAACUCCUACGGGAGGCAGCAGUAGGGAAUCUUCCGCAAUGGGCGAAAGCCUGACGGAGCAAUGCCGCGUGAGUGAAGAAGGCCUUCGGGUCGUAAAACUCUGUUAUAAGAGAAGAACAAAUUGUAGAGUAACUGCUACAGUCUUGACGGUAUCUUAUCAGAAAGCCACGGCUAACUACGUGCCAGCAGCCGCCGUAA
Molecule: ribosomal RNA, 513 nt
Filed under: uncultured bacterium
Lineage: Bacteria
Description: partial 16S ribosomal RNA
Rfam family: Bacterial small subunit ribosomal RNA
Source: RNAcentral